UUUCUAAGAGUCGAGUUGUUUGGGAUUGCAGCUCAAAAUGGGAGGUAAAUUUCUCCUAAGGCUAAAUAUUGGCGAGAGACCGAUAGCGAACAAGUACCGUGAGGGAAAGAUGAAAAGAACUUUGAAAAGAGAGUUAAACAGUACGUGAAGUUGUUGAAAGGGAAACGAUUGAAGUCAGUCGUACUAACGGGAAAUCAACCUAUUUUGAGUUGUGAAUUUUGGAUCUUGAAGAGUGUAAACCUUCUGGUUCAAAUAUUCGCGCUUUUUGGGCGUAAUUUCUCGUUCGGUAGGUUAACAUCGAUUUUGAAUAUUAUAAAAUGACUGGAGGAAUGUAGCUUCGAUCUCGUAUUGAAGUGUUAUAGCCUUUGGUAGAUGUAAUGAUCAAGAUCGAGGAUUGCAACGAAUACCCUUUGGGCUAUCCGUCUGAUCUCUGAUACGUUGCCUUGGUAACGAAAGCUUGCUUACGGUAUUGAGGUAUAACGGUCAAAAGGUUAGAACGUGAUUACAUUCGUU
This 513-nucleotide ribosomal RNA is filed under the name Septoglomus xanthium. RNAcentral describes it as "LSU rRNA". It matches the Rfam family "Eukaryotic large subunit ribosomal RNA", at positions 255 to 648 of the family's 3401-position model. Lineage: Eukaryota; Fungi; Glomeromycota; Glomeromycetes; Glomerales; Glomeraceae. The record is from RNAcentral.